Molecule: long non-coding RNA, 300 nt
Filed under: Manihot esculenta (cassava)
Lineage: Eukaryota; Viridiplantae; Streptophyta; Magnoliopsida; Malpighiales; Euphorbiaceae
Description: long non-coding RNA (MESC_LNC002171)
Source: RNAcentral
UUUUGGGGAAUAGUUUAGAGUUAUGUUCACGUAUGUUUGGUCCCUCAUUUGAGUCCACCUGUGUAGGUUCGGACCCGAGGAACCGAGGACCCCAGCAGUGAGUCUGUUGCCCCAGUGUCUGGUCAGAGCUAUCCAGAGGUGAGUGGAAUAACUUAUUAUGUUUUAAAGCAAAGAAUGAACUUUUUAGCAUGUUUCACGCAUCAUGAAUGCCAUGUGAUGAAUUAGGUUGCUUGCAUUAGAAUUCACGAAUAUGUUGCAUUGCAUAUUUUUAUGUUGAUGUGGAUGAAUGUUGGAUGAUCC